This 922-nucleotide long non-coding RNA is filed under the name Vitis vinifera (wine grape). RNAcentral's name for it is "long non-coding RNA (VVIN_LNC006979)". Lineage: Eukaryota; Viridiplantae; Streptophyta; Magnoliopsida; Vitales; Vitaceae. The record is from RNAcentral.
UGAUAUGAUACAUAAAGGUUUGUGUCAUGGAGAGAUUGAAGAUUAACUUCAUGGAAUUUGGUCCAAGGUGGAGAUUGUUAGGAAGUGUCCCAAAUUCCUAAUUAGUAUAGAUUCCUUUUUUUGUAAAGAAUAUUAUAUAGAAUAUUUCUAGGUUAAUAUAUUAUUGUAAUAUUAGACUUCCUUAUAGAAUAAGGAAGGUUGUUGGAAAUAUCUCUAUAAAUAUUCUAGGUCAUGAGGGAAAAAAGUCAUGAGAUGGAAAUGGACCUGUAGAGAUUAUACGAGGUGGAUAAAGAUGUGAGGAAGAACAGGAGGUACUCUGUUGAGCGAGAGGGCUCGUAGUAGGGUAUGGAUACAAGGAGUGGGGAAACAUGUGAUGUUUCAGGAACCCAAUAGUUAUAUUUGGUUCUGUCCUCUGUAAUAUUCUCUAUUGUAUAGUGGAAUCAUUCUCUCUCAUCCUUGGACGUGGGCAUGAUUGGCCGAACCACGUUAAAACCUCGUGUACCAUAUGUGUGAUUAUUUUAUCUUUGUGUUCUCAAACUAACAUUGUUGGCAUCAAAGCUUUCGCUGGCACAACAACUGGUAUCAGAGCUUGGGUUAAAGAUUUCUGGAAUAGUAAAAGAUCACAAAGCACACAAGAUGAAAACAAAAGGAAUUUUCACUUAAGGUGGAGUCGAUUGCUCUUUCGUGGUGAUAUGAUACAAAAAGGUUUGUGUCAUGGAGAGAUUGAAGAUUAACUUCAUGGAAUUUGGUCCAAGGUGGAGAUUGUUAGGAAGUGUCCCAAAUUCCUAAUUAGUAUAGAUUCCUUUUUUGUAAAGAAUAUUAUAUAGAAUAUUUCUAGGUUGAUAUAUUAUUGUAAUAUUAGACUUCCUUAUAGAAUAAGGAAGGUUGUUGGAAAUAUCUCUAUAAAUAUUCUAAGUCAUAA